Molecule: ribosomal RNA, 404 nt
Filed under: Actinomycetes bacterium
Lineage: Bacteria; Bacillati; Actinomycetota; Actinomycetes
Description: Actinobacteria bacterium partial 16S ribosomal RNA
Rfam family: Bacterial small subunit ribosomal RNA
Source: RNAcentral
UGGGGAAUAUUGGACAAUGGGCGCAAGCCUGAUCCAGCCAUGCCGCGUGAGUGAUGAAGGCCCUAGGGUUGUAAAGCUCUUUCACCGGUGAAGAUAAUGACGGUAACCGGAGAAGAAGCUCCGGCUAACUUCGUGCCAGCAGCCGCGGUAAUACGAAGGGGGCUAGCGUUGUUCGGAUUUACUGGGCGUAAAGCGCACGUAGGCGGACUAUUAAGUCAGGGGUGAAAUCCCGGGGCUCAACCCCGGAACUGCCUUUGAUACUGGUAGUCUUGAGUUCGAGAGAGGUGAGUGGAAUUCCGAGUGUAGAGGUGAAAUUCGUAGAUAUUCGGAGGAACACCAGUGGCGAAGGCGGCUCACUGGCUCGAUACUGACGCUGCGGUGCGAAAGCGUGGGGAGCAAACAGG